UAAUCUGCCUAUCAGAGGGGAAUAACAGUGAGAAAUCAUUGCUAAUACCGCAUAUACUAAUUUUAUUGCAUGAUAGAAUUGGGAAGGGAGCAAUCCGCUGACAGAUGGGCUUGCGUCUGAUUAGUUAGUUGGCAGGGUAAAGGCCUACCAAGACGAUGAUCAGUAGCCGGACUGAGAGGUUGAACGGCCACAUUGGGACUGAGAUACGGCCCAGACUCCUACGGGAGGCAGCAG
This 234-nucleotide ribosomal RNA is filed under the name uncultured bacterium. RNAcentral describes it as "partial 16S ribosomal RNA". It matches the Rfam family "Bacterial small subunit ribosomal RNA", at positions 122 to 354 of the family's 1533-position model. The record is from RNAcentral.